Molecule: ribosomal RNA, 427 nt
Filed under: uncultured bacterium
Lineage: Bacteria
Description: partial 16S ribosomal RNA
Rfam family: Bacterial small subunit ribosomal RNA
Source: RNAcentral
UGGGGAAUAUUGGACAAUGGGCGAAAGCCUGAUCCAGCCAUGCCGCGUGUGUGAAGAAGGUCUUCGGAUUGUAAAGCACUUUAAGUUGGGAGGAAGGGUUGUAGAUUAAUACUCUGCAAUUUUGACGUUACCGACAAAAUAAGCACCGGCUAACUCUGUGCCAGCAGCCGCGGUAAUACAGAGGGUGCAAGCGUUAAUCGGAAUUACUGGGCGUAAAGCGCGCGUAGGUGGUUUGUUAAGUUGGAUGUGAAAGCCCCGGGCUCAACCUGGGAACUGCAUCCAAAACUGGCAAGCUAGAGUACGGUAGAGGGUGGUGGAAUUUCCUGUGUAGCGGUGAAAUGCGUAGAUAUAGGAAGGAACACCAGUGGCGAAGGCGACCACCUGGACUGAUACUGACACUGAGGUGCGAAAGCGUGGGGAGCAAACA